This 498-nucleotide long non-coding RNA is filed under the name Sus scrofa (pig). RNAcentral describes it as "lncRNA (ENSSSCG00055021938.1)". Lineage: Eukaryota; Metazoa; Chordata; Mammalia; Artiodactyla; Suidae. The record is from RNAcentral.
ACGAUGGGGAGCCCCAUUCAGGGCCCAGGACCUGGGAAUGUCUGACUCGGAUAAUGGGGAUUCGACUCCUGUUUGUUAAGUGAAUGAUUGGGUGGAAGAACGAUGGGGUUCAUUAACAGCACUGGCAGCGCUGAGCACAUUGUCAUCUUUUGUGGAAAAUACUUGCGGAAUGAAUGAACGCAUUUCUACCGGACUGCAACGUCCAGAAAAGCCGGGGGCGGUGGCUCUCCUACAUUGUAUUCUGUAGCAGGCAGAGGCUUUCUGCACGUGGAGUGUGGCUGUGACUGUGCAGUGGUCAGUGUGUGAGCUGUGGCAUAUGGAAGAGGACAGCGAACUUGGAAUCAGAAGGUGGGAGUCGCAGCUCUGCUUCUUGCCACAUGGAUGGGAUCAUCAUUUAUAAACACACGAGGGAACAAUCUGCCAUGAAGAAGAGUCAGCCAACACAGGAAAGAGGGGAAGUGGAAUAAAAGGGUAGACUUGUUGGUUAAGAACCCUGAA